RNAcentral lists this ribosomal RNA (501 nucleotides) under Purpureocillium lilacinum. Its description in RNAcentral is "eukaryotic LSU rRNA". The stretch from base 193 to 346 matches the Rfam family "5.8S ribosomal RNA". Lineage: Eukaryota; Fungi; Ascomycota; Sordariomycetes; Hypocreales; Ophiocordycipitaceae. The record is from RNAcentral.
AUCAUUACCGAGUUAUACAACUCCCAAACCCACUGUGAACCUUACCUCAGUUGCCUCGGCGGGACCGCCCCGGCCGCCGCGCAAGCGGCGCCGGACUCCAAGGCGCCCGCCGCAGGGACCCAAAACUCUUUUGCAUUACGCCCAACGGCGGGAAUUUUUUCUCUGAGUGCAUAAGCAAAACAAAUGAAUCAAAACUUUCAACAACGGAUCUCUUGGUUCUGGCAUCGAUGAAGAACGCAGCGAAAUGCGAUAAGUAAUGUGAAUUGCAGAAUUCAGUGAAUCAUCGAAUCUUUGAACGCACAUUGCGCCCGCCAGCAUUCUGGCGGGCAUGCCUGUUCGAGCGUCAUUUCAACCCUCGAGCCCCCCCGGGGGCCUCGGUGUUGGGGGACGGCACACCAGCCGCCCCCGAAAUGCAGUGGCGACCUCGCCGCAGCCUCCCCUGCGUAGUAGCACACACCUCGCACCGGAGCGCGGAGACGGUCACGCCGUAAAACGCCCAAC